CUGGGCCUCCUAAUGAGAAGGAUCAGUCUGGAGUGUGGAACCACAGGGAGCAGUUUAGGUUUCUGGAGGAAGCCCUGACCCAGGGAGAAGCUGCUGGGAGGGGAUGCAGUGGGAAAGGAGUCUGCUGCUGAGUAGAAGACGGUGAGAAGAAAUGUGUGGUUAAAAGGCAUAAAGAAGAGCCCCACAAGCCUGCUGCAGGAGGGGUGAUGUGCCCAGAACUUCAGUCAACCACAGGCUAUGACAGGACUUGAGAGAAGGCAGCCAGAGAGUCAGCUCUUUCUAAUGGAGCUGCAAGGACUUGAUAAUAGCCCAGAAGGGGGAAGAGCUGAGCCCAGGAACUGGACUGAAGAGCAGCAGCAUGAUUUGUUUAGACAUUUUGUUUGCGCUUUAAUUGGAUGUUUGUUACCCUGGAAGGGGACUGACCUUUCAGUGUGACCUGGCCGGAGGGCUGAGUCGCCCAGAAGACGACUGCUGCAGAAACAGAACAUGCUGCCACCCACAUACCCACAUGGAAAGCAUCGGAGAAGAGUAAACCAGAAAUAAACCCAUUCCAGGGGGAUGGAGAGAAAAAUACCCACAAAGAUAAUUGGGAGUGUAUGAAGACUGAAGAGGAGGUAAGCGACGGUGCCUUUGUGAGAUCGCUGGGUCUAUGUGGAAGUUCAUCUUUGCUCUAAUGAGUUACUGGAGAUACUGGGCCCAAUUCUAUGCUGCUGUAACUCCAUUCACUUCAAUGGGCUCACUCCUGAUUCACACUGGUGUAAAGGAGAGAAGUUUCAAGACUUUUGGACCUCCAGAAGCCACCUGUGUUGACAAAUCACUGAUUCCAAGAAACACCUUGGAAAGAAGACUUGGAAAUCUUGCUGCCUCUGCUCAUAAAAGGGGAGCAAUUCUAGAAUUGCUUAGGGUUAGAUUGUGGCUUUUGGCAAAGCCCUGCACAAAGUUGCAUUACUGUAGGAGCAGCCCUGGGAGGCAUUGACUGUGGCAACCCUCUCAGCCUCAGCUCCUCUCCUGCAUUUUCCUUGGUCCCAGCCAGGCACCAGUUGUUCACCACUGGUCUAUAGCAGCAGAAGAUUACGAUCUUCCUCUGUGUGGACUUGGCUACACCGGCCAGUGACCAAAAGGCAGGAGUCAAGGCUCCACCCAUCCCCUGCCCACUUGUCCCACCCAGGGGACAGUAAGCAGAAGAGGAACCUGGCAAAUUCAUAUGUGCCUGGACCUGGGUAUCCCAUGUAAGGGUAUAACGGGGCCAAAGAUCCUUAUACCCUCUGACUGCUCUCCUGCACAGGCAUCUAGGCCAUGUCCCACAAUCCUGCCUUUAGUGUCACUUACAAGAUAAGCGUUAAAGGUUAAUAUGAAUAAAAUGUGAGCUGUUGGCUUCAGUGUAUAUCUUGACAC
Molecule: long non-coding RNA, 1395 nt
Organism: Mauremys mutica (yellowpond turtle)
Lineage: Eukaryota; Metazoa; Chordata; Testudines; Geoemydidae
Exons: 3
Source: RefSeq, a predicted model, not a curated record